ACAAAUACAUGAUGGCCGUUGCCACCGAAUAGUGUAACGCGUACAUGAUACCCGUCGUGUAACUGAAAGGUUUAUUAUUUUCAGUGGAGUAUCGUCGUCGCGCGUGCUCCGUGUGCGUUUGUUUUCCCGACGGCGUGGUCGCGGCGGUACGCGCCCGGGUACGCGGGAUCGCGCGCGGCUUAGUCGCGCGCGGGCGCCGAAAGAUUCCCAGGAGGAAAACACGGGGUGGCCAGAGCCCCGCGUACGCGGUGCCGUAGGACGGAAGUCGCGGUGGCGAGAUCUGCGCCCGUAGAAAGGCUGGCGCGCGGCACAGCGACGACAGAGAGACCUUUUGUCCAGAGAAAAGGAUUGCUGCGACGGACAUCGCGUGGGUGAAGGCGUAAUGUUGUGACAUUACACUCUACGCCAUUUGACAAGUAUUCAAGAAUGUCUGUGAGUUACUUCCUGGACCUGGGAUAGCGAGUGGAAUGUAACACGAGAGAACUGUUUAUUCGUAAAGUGAUAUAUAUCCUGUUUGACACCGUUCUGCCGAACGUGCAUCCCCGAGCCGUGUUGUCAUGGACAGGCGUAGCGUCGCUGCACUUAUAAAUGGAUAAGAUCUCGUGGCAGACGCGCUUUAAGUAUAAGUCAGGAUAUAUCCACGAUGCGAUUGCGCAAUUGUUUUUUAAUGGGUAAAAUGGUUCGCGAGGGAACUACUUUCUGCGUGCUGCGAAGCAAUGCCCGUAACGGCCACGAAUGGUUAGCACUGGUGCGAGACUUUUGAAGGCGACGUUAACCGUACACGUGGAUACGAGCGCUCCGAGGAUAUUGAGCACGCUGCUGCCCUGAGCUUCGGAAGGAAUACGAAAUUGUAUGCAUGACAGGAACAGGAGAGAACGUAGGCCGCAGACGUGUUGAGUGGCGCCGAAACGCAAAUAUCGCUCGCUGCAACUGUUAAACAAUUUUGGAAAGAACAAAAU
Molecule: long non-coding RNA, 959 nt
Organism: Temnothorax curvispinosus
Lineage: Eukaryota; Metazoa; Arthropoda; Insecta; Hymenoptera; Formicidae
Exons: 3
Source: RefSeq, a predicted model, not a curated record